This 270-nucleotide ribosomal RNA is filed under the name uncultured prokaryote. RNAcentral describes it as "partial 16S ribosomal RNA". It matches the Rfam family "Bacterial small subunit ribosomal RNA", at positions 506 to 776 of the family's 1533-position model. The record is from RNAcentral.
UGCCAGCCGCGCGGUAAUACGUAGGUGGCAAGCGUUGUCCGGAUUUAUUGGGUUUAAAGGGUGCGUAGGCGGCCUAUUAAGUCAGUUCUGAAAUAUCCCGGCUUAACCGGGAGGGUGGGAUUGAUACUGAUGGGCUUGAGUGGAUUCGAGGUAGGCGGAAUUGACGGUGUAGCGGUGAAAUGCUUAGAUAUCGUCAAGAACACCGAUAGUGUAGACAGCUUACUAGACUUCAACUGACGCUGAGGCACGAAAGUGUGGGGAUCAAACAGG